GACAGAGGUGGCGAGCGUUGUUCGGAAUUACUGGGCUUAAAGGGCGAGUAGGCGGUGGAACAAGUCUGAGGUGGAAUCCUACGGCUUAACUGUAGAAUUGCCUUAGAAACUGUUUUACUUGAGUCAGUGAGGGGAGGGCGGAAUUCCUGGUGUAGCGGUGAAAUGCGUAGAUAUCAGGAGGAAGGCCUGUGGCGAAGGCGGCCCUCUGGCACUGUACUGACGCUGAGGCGCGAAAGCGUGGGGAG
This 245-nucleotide ribosomal RNA is filed under the name uncultured bacterium. Its description in RNAcentral is "partial 16S ribosomal RNA". It matches the Rfam family "Bacterial small subunit ribosomal RNA", at positions 524 to 768 of the family's 1533-position model. The record is from RNAcentral.